Molecule: ribosomal RNA, 274 nt
Filed under: uncultured bacterium
Lineage: Bacteria
Description: partial 16S ribosomal RNA
Rfam family: Bacterial small subunit ribosomal RNA
Source: RNAcentral
AUACGGAGGGUGCAAACGUUGUUCGGAAUCACUGGGCGUAAAGGGCGCGCAGGCGGUUUGAUUAGUCAGAUGUGAAAGCCCACGGCUUAACCGUGGAAGUGCAUUUGAAACUGUCAGACUUGAGUACCAGAGGGGGUAGUGGAAUUCCCGGUGUAGAGGUGAAAUUCGUAGAUAUCGGGAGGAAUACCGGUGGCGAAGGCGACUACCUGGCUGGAUACUGACGCUGAGGCGCGAAAGCGUGGAGAGCAAACAGGAUUAGAAACCCCAGUAGUCC